AAGUGUCUUCAGGGCAGGGUGUAAUUCCCGACCGGCGGUGACUAGAGUAUCUAGAAGUCCGCGAGCGUAAGCUGAUGUGGUGUAAUUCCACAACCGACAGUAAAGUCUGGAUGAGAGAAGACCGGG
Molecule: non-coding RNA, 126 nt
Organism: Streptococcus phocae
Lineage: Bacteria; Bacillati; Bacillota; Bacilli; Lactobacillales; Streptococcaceae
Source: Rfam